UCCCUGGUGGCCCAGUGGUGAAGACACUAUGCUCCCAACGCAGGGGGCCUGGUUUGAUCCCUGGUCAGGGAA
RNAcentral lists this transfer RNA (72 nucleotides) under Bos taurus (domestic cattle). It matches the Rfam family "tRNA". Rfam says of the family: Transfer RNA (tRNA) molecules are approximately 80 nucleotides in length. Their secondary structure includes four short double-helical elements and three loops (D, anti-codon, and T loops). Further hydrogen bonds mediate the characteristic L-shaped molecular structure. tRNAs have two regions of fundamental functional importance: the anti-codon, which is responsible for specific mRNA codon recognition, and the 3' end, to which the tRNAs corresponding amino acid is attached (by aminoacyl-tRNA synthetases). tRNAs cope with the degeneracy of the genetic code in two manners: having more than one tRNA (with a specific anti-codon) for a particular amino acid; and 'wobble' base-pairing, i.e. permitting non-standard base-pairing at the 3rd anti-codon position. RNAcentral also lists the same sequence under 2 other names. The record is from Rfam by way of RNAcentral. Lineage: Eukaryota; Metazoa; Chordata; Mammalia; Artiodactyla; Bovidae.